CCUUGUACACACCGCCCGUCAAGCCACGAAAGGGGGGGGCAUCCUAAGUCGCCGUGCUAACCGUAAGGAGGCAGGCGCCUAAGAUGAACUCCCUGAUUGGGACU
Molecule: ribosomal RNA, 104 nt
Filed under: uncultured bacterium
Lineage: Bacteria
Description: partial 16S ribosomal RNA
Rfam family: Bacterial small subunit ribosomal RNA
Source: RNAcentral